CUUUCUAUUAGCUUUCAGUGAGAUUACACAUGCAAGUAUCCACAGCCCUGUGAGAAUGCCCUCAACCAAAAGAUNNNNGAGGAGCGAGUAUCAAGCACGCAUCAUGCAGCUCAAAACACUUUGCUUAGCCACGCCCCCACGGGAAACAGCAGUGACAAACUUUUAGCAAUGAACGAAANGUUUAACUAAGCCACACUGACCACCAGAGUCGGUCAAUUUCGUGCCAGCCACCGCGGUCAUACGAUUGACUCGAGUUAAUAGAGCCCGGCGUAAAGGGUGUUUAAGAUUUAAUUCCAAGUACAAUAAAGCUAACCUGUAACUAAGUCGUAAAAAACCACAGUUACAGUGAAAUAAACUACGAAAGUGGCUUUAGUACUCUGAAUACACUAUAGCUAAGGUACAAACUGGGAUUAGAUACCCCACUAUGCUUAGCCCUAAACCUCAGUAACUCAACCAACAAACUUAUUCGCCAGAAUACUACAAGCAACAGCUUGAAACUCAAAGGACCUGGCGGUGCUUUACAUCCGUCUAGAGGAGCCUGUUCUAUAAUCGAUACACCCCGAUAAACCUCACCACCUCUUGCCAUCAGCCUGUAUACCGCCAUCUUCAGCAAACUCCCUAAUGACAGCAAAGUAAGCGGAAGUAUCAUCAUAAAAACGUUAGGUCAAGGUGCAGCCAAUGACGUGGGAAGAAAUGGGCUACAUUUUCUAAAUCAGAAAAUCAUACGAUANACCCUUAUGAAACU
RNAcentral lists this ribosomal RNA (745 nucleotides) under Saguinus midas (Midas tamarin). Its description in RNAcentral is "partial small subunit ribosomal RNA". It matches the Rfam family "Bacterial small subunit ribosomal RNA", at positions 23 to 1274 of the family's 1533-position model. Lineage: Eukaryota; Metazoa; Chordata; Mammalia; Primates; Cebidae. The record is from RNAcentral.